This 441-nucleotide ribosomal RNA is filed under the name uncultured bacterium. RNAcentral describes it as "partial 16S ribosomal RNA". It matches the Rfam family "Bacterial small subunit ribosomal RNA", at positions 338 to 795 of the family's 1533-position model. The record is from RNAcentral.
CCUACGGGUGGCAGCAGUGGGGAAUAUUGCACAAUGGGGGAAACCCUGAUGCAGCGACGCCGCGUGAGUGAAGAAGUAUUUCGGUAUGUAAAGCUCUAUCAGCAGGGAAGAAGAAAGACGGUACCUGACUAAGAAGCCCCGGCUAACUACGUGCCAGCAGCCGCGGUAAUACGUAGGGGGCAAGCGUUAUCCGGAUUUACUGGGUGUAAAGGGAGCGUAGACGGCUGUGCAAGUCUGAAGGGAAAGCCCAGGGCUCAACCCUGGGACUGCUUUGGAAACUGUGGAGCUGGAGUGCUGGAGAGGUAAGUGGAAUUCCUAGUGUAGCGGUGAGAUGCGUAGAUAUUAGGAGGAACACCAGUGGCGAAGGCGGCUUACUGGACAGUAACUGACGUUGAGGCUCGAAAGCGUGGGGAGCAAACAGGAUUAGAUACCCGAGUAGUC